AAGCUACUGGGGGAGCCGAAGCUCCCCCCCAAGUAGGUGCGUGCUUUGUUCUUGUUAUGAUGCCGGGCUUGUUGUUUUUGUUUGUAGACCCGUCCUCGAGGCCAGUCGCUUCGAGGUAUUCCCAUUCGGGAUCGACAAGAGCAAACGGAUUGCUUUGGUCGCUGAGUGAGCAGUGAUCUUUCGAUCCAACCGAUUCCGCCGCUGCCUCGAGGCAGUU
RNAcentral lists this unclassified non-coding RNA (217 nucleotides) under Pseudomonas delhiensis. Its description in RNAcentral is "Pseudomonas sRNA P29". The record is from RNAcentral. Lineage: Bacteria; Pseudomonadati; Pseudomonadota; Gammaproteobacteria; Pseudomonadales; Pseudomonadaceae.